Molecule: long non-coding RNA, 250 nt
Filed under: Solanum tuberosum (potato)
Lineage: Eukaryota; Viridiplantae; Streptophyta; Magnoliopsida; Solanales; Solanaceae
Description: long non-coding RNA (STUB_LNC008249)
Source: RNAcentral
UCCUCUUCUUACUUGAACUAGCAUCAUACUGAUCUUUGUCACCUCCAUCAACAAUUUCAGAUUGCUUCGAUUUUGCACUAAUUUCACCCAAUCUGAUUGGGUCAUUCUUAAAUUUGAAUCUGAUGUCUUUAAUUUCUUUGAAUUUGGCUAUUGAACCUGCGACCUCUCCAAAAUCCUAAGUUAGACCCAAGAAAAAUGUUCAUCCAUUGUAUAUGUGAAAAAUCUGUGUGGAUUAUGAUUUCAUAUGAAA